Long non-coding RNA from Girardinichthys multiradiatus, 815 nucleotides. RefSeq lists it as uncharacterized. The transcript has 2 exons. The record is from RefSeq and is a predicted model, not a curated record. NCBI's taxonomy places the organism in Eukaryota, Metazoa, Chordata, Actinopteri, Cyprinodontiformes, Goodeidae.
GUUACUCCUCUUCAGUUAGUUUGUAUUUGGUCUUUGUUACCUUUACAUUCCUAAGUCCUCCCAAGUCUGGUUCUUCCAGUUUAUCUCAUUUCUCCAGUCCCUCCUGAGAGGUUAGUUUAGUAGUGUUUAUAUUUAUUCUAGUCCUCAUGUUCUCUGCCUUUUCCCCACUCAGUUCAGUCAGUGUGGUUUUAGGUUUGUUUACUUUGUAAUCCGGUUCGCUUUAUGGGUUUCUUGUUUGUUCUUAGGUUGCUUAGAUCUUAGGUUAUGGUGUUUCUUAUGUUCCCUCUAGUUUCUCUGUUCAUGAUUAUUCUUGACUCUCAUGCUUCAUUUGGUUAUUUUGUUUAUGGCUUCAUUUCGGUAUUGUUUAUUAGCCCAUGCUUUAGUUUUUGUAUUUGUUUCACCUGUUCCUUCUGGCUCCCUGCUUUGUUGUCACACCUGUUCUUAGUUCCUUCGAUUACCUGCCUUUGUCUCCCUCAGUAUAUUAGUUGGUUUUGUUUCAUUGUGUGUCGCUGGUUCCUUCGUUCACAACUCGAUUCACUACCCUCCUCCAUGCCAUGAGUUUCCAUGUUCCUGCAGUGUCUUUAUGUACGUUUUUUGGAUCUCAACUCUGGCUGGUCGUUACAACCUGGUGACAAGCCUCCACUGGCGACACGGGGGAUCCCACAGCAAGCACAGACAGAAACAGGCAGAUAAAUGCUGAUUCUCAGGGCACAAUCACAGCAGAUGUGUAUAAAUGUAACACUUUUUAUUUGAUUGACUUUACUUCUAUAUGUAGAUGGGUUUUACUCAUGUUAAAAUAAAAAUUUGCAAUGCUC